This 253-nucleotide ribosomal RNA is filed under the name uncultured bacterium. Its description in RNAcentral is "partial 16S ribosomal RNA". It matches the Rfam family "Bacterial small subunit ribosomal RNA", at positions 524 to 776 of the family's 1533-position model. The record is from RNAcentral.
UACAGAGGGGGCAAGCGUUGUUCGGAAUUACUGGGCGUAAAGGGCGCGUAGGCGGCCUGCUAAGUCGAACGUGAAAUCCCCGGGCUCAACCUGGGAACUGCAUCCGAUACUGGAUGGCUUGAAUUCGGGAGAGGGAUGCAGAAUUCCAGGUGUAGCGGUGAAAUGCGUAGAUAUCUGGAGGAAUACCGGUGGCGAAGGCGGCAUCCUGGGCCGACAUUGACGCUGAUGAGCGAAAGCUAGGGGAGCAAACGGG